Molecule: ribosomal RNA, 253 nt
Filed under: uncultured bacterium
Lineage: Bacteria
Description: partial 16S ribosomal RNA
Rfam family: Bacterial small subunit ribosomal RNA
Source: RNAcentral
UACGAAGGGGGCUAGCGUUGCUCGGAAUCACUGGGCGUAAAGCGCACGUAGGCGGCGAUUUAAGUCAGAGGUGAAAGCCCGGGGCUCAACCCCGGAACAGCCUUUGUGACUGGAUUGCUUGAACAUCGGAGAGGUGAGUGGAAUUCCGAGUGUAGAGGUGAAAUUCGUAGAUAUUCGGAAGAACACCAGUGGCGAAGGCGGCUCACUGGACGAUUGUUGACGCUGAGGUGCGAAAGCGUGGGGAGCAAACAGG